CUGAGCUCAUAUGCUCACUAAUCAGAAGUGUUUAUGCCCUUUCUUGGCUUCUGGCAAUUCCCAUAAUGUCCAGGUCCUUGUAGGUUUAAAAUUAAUUCUAAUUCACAGUAGAAAAUUACCUUUGUGAUGCUCUAGAUUUGCACGAUUAAUAUCCCAAAUGCUGAUAAUGAUAGUAAUGAAAGUUUCUUUCUUAUUUUAUAAGAACUUUGUGAAAGGUCAGCUGAAGCAAAUGUGUUUCCUGAUGGCUACUUUAAAAGUUGAUUCCAGAGCUAUCUGCACUUAAUACUCAUAGAAAUCAUUAACUGGUUUCUCAACCAAAACUAAAAUAGAAAUCCAGUCACUUCUCCAUGUCUCUGUUGGACAUAGAAGUGAAAAUAAGCUUCCUAGGAAGGCAGUGGAACAAUGAUCCAAAGGGGCAAACAUCAAGAGUUUCCGUUGUGGCGGGUGAAGGAUUCACGCUGUCUCUGUGAGGAUGUGGGUUUGAUCCCUGGCCUGGCUCAGCGGGUUAAGGAUCCAGAGUUACUGCAAAUUGUGACAUAGGUCGCAGAUGCAGCUCUGACCCAUUGUUGCCAUGGCUGUGGCGUAGGUUGCAGCUGCAGCUCUGAUUUGUCCCCUGGCCCAGGAACUUCCAUUUGCCACUGUUAUGGCAUAAAAAAAAAAAGAAAAAAAAAGAGAGGGGGAGAACAUCAGUGGAAAAUAAAAUGUAAAACCUAACUGAUGAAAGGCAGGGCCACUUUUUUAAUUAAAAUGUAAGCAGAGAAGCAGGACUGCAGAGGAACUGAAGGCGUCUCGGUGACCAGAGAAUGCAUGCUCUUGAACAUCAGUCUUUGUAUCAUGGUCUGAGGGAAAGAGGAGAAUAAGUGCACUGGGGAAAAGUAGAUGUUCUCCAUGUGCUUGGGGUUUGUUUAGGGAUGUAUCUUUCGGUAUUCCUACCCCGGGCCAUUUCUUUAAUUCAUUCACUCAACAAAUUUCUAUUAACAUCCACUGCGUACCAGAGCAGUAUUCUAAGCCCAGGGGAUCUGCAGCAAACCAAGGCUCUGCUCCCAAGGACCUUGUAUUCUAGCGGAAAUUCCCUGGAGGUAGCUCUGUGCCCUGCGUCCUAGUGCCUUUGCUCCAGUGGCCUGCCUUUGCCACCUUCCUCUCAGCUCCAGACCCACAGUGGAGGCAUGUGAAUUAACAUAUCAUACCCACAGAACCCAGUUUUAGAAUUCAGGGGUGAUGCAGGCAGCAGAAAUCCCCGUUUAGUUGGCAAAGCCUUCAGAGUGCCAUAAAUCACUCAUACGGAAAGAAACCUUUAGUUCUUUCUUUGAUAAGAAAAGGUAGCCCUUGUUACCUCUGGGUAAACAGCCAUCACCUCUUUCCUUAUCUCCCUCCCUCCUCUUGCAUUCACUCUGUGUGCUCGUCCUGGUGUCUGCCUCCCUGGCAGGGGGACAGCAGUGAACACAGUGCCAGACGAUGCAGAGUUGAACUGUGGCAAUGUCUCUUUGCAGAGAGGGCCUUGCAAAGUGAGACCAAGGUCCACGUCUGGUGGGCGGGGGGGUAGGGUCCUGCUCUUUCCACUGACUCUGGGACACAGGGCAAGUAAGGGAACAUUUUCACUGCUGCAGGUAUUAAAGUAGAGAUGCUCUAAGCCUCCUCUCAGUCUGGAGGGUCUACGCCUUUAAAUAAUUGCUAUAACACAAAUAAAUGAAGAACUGAAAAUUAGAAAGUGGACUAACACAUCAAGAAGGAAUUUAUGGACUGUACCUGACGUUCAUCGAUAGCAAUGGAAGAUCAGUGAGCAGGGAGAAAAACGGCGUGUCCUCCAAAAAGUGACUUGAACAAGGUCACCCAGCGAACAGAGAAUGUCUCCUAUGGGGGUAUUGUUGCCUUAUUUUUCAUCAAGGCUCAAACUAUUAUGCUUGGCAGUUUCUCCACUGGACUUGUCAUCUCUAUAUAAAUUAGUCGACAGCUGUAGCCAGCUGUUUUGUCAGAAGUAACAGAAUCUCCAUAUAAAAGCUGAAUCUGGUGUUUUCCAAACACAGCUUUUUUGCCCUGAAACUGCAGACCUAAGCUGGCGUUGCCAUUCUUAAACAUAAAAUGCAUACACACUGAGGGCGUUUACCCUGGAAGUUCUGGGGGGUUGUUCCUGCUACAUGAUCUGCAUGACGAUUCGUGACCCGAAGACUGGGUAAAAAUCUGGCAGGAAAAUUUCUACGUUUUUCCUUUUCCUCCACCCCCAAAUUGGAAAAUAUUCAUAUAGGGAAUCCUUAGAAACGAAAAAACAGUUUUAAAAAAAUAGCCUGAUUUUUCCAGUCCUUCACAUUUCUAAUAAUGGUGGGCCUGGAAGGUUCCACUAAUGUUUUCCAAACACUACACAGACCACAUAACUGAUAUAAAUAGAACUAGGUCUAAAUAACUUAUGAAAAUAGCACUCAGGGCUCCUGCAGAGGCCAUCUGUGAGAUGGUCCUUUCCUAAUGAGCCUGUGACUUCAGGGAGUCACACAUUCCCCCAUUUGGAUCCAAACCCUUUCGGAGGAAUUAGAUAACAAUCUUUAUUGGGGGGCGGGGGCAGCAGAAUUAGAAGGUGGAAAAGGAUUGAGGAUAUGAGAAUGGGCCAAGUGGAAGCCUAUGUCUAAAUUCCAAAGACUAAAGCAUGGUCAGGAACAAGAACCAUUUCCACUGAAAACUCGCCAUCCAAUGAUCCCUUUGCCCUGGAUCCUCAGUAAAUACUUGACAUUAAACACGCAGCAUUUAUGAAAACAUCCAGUAUUUACCUAACCAUCAGCUCUGUUUAUUAGGCACAUUUCCUGGUGGAACUGGCACAGCAUUUUGCUUGUCGACACUGUUUAUCAUUUCUAGCCACGCGCUCAUCAGAUAAGAAACCUAGAAGCCAAAGGAAAGCGAGGGAAAAGCGGGGCGGGGGGGGGGGUGUUGACGGUCUGGGGGUGCAGUACGAGAGAGGAGAAGCAGGGGAAGGGCUGCUUACAUUGGAGGUACUCUCCUACACUCGAUGUGAAUGGCCAGAGCAGUGCAGGUACUCAAACUGGAAACAAAAUUUCAAAACAUCUUCAUGACUGAAUCACUGAUUUAACAAUUUCCUACUCUUUCACCCAUUUUCUUAUUUUGCAAACUCUGAGAAUUCAUCUUAGUCCCCUAUCAGAUAAAUGGAAACAUUAAUUCUUCUGAGAUUGCUCAGUACUGAAAGUAUCCUUAAACAAAGGUGUUCAGCCUCAAUCUCGUUAAAUGUUUCUGAAAAUUAGGUAUUUGACUCUAAAUACACCAACAGGGAGACAGCCUGUGGGUAUUUCCAUAAGGUUUUGGAACACUCAGAGGUAUGUGGCCUUAUGAUUAUUGGACAUAAUAACAACAUACACGAAAAAAACCUAGAAUUUAUAAAACUGUAAUAAAACCUGGCAAAUGGAUAAAGAAUCCCUGAGAUGUGCACAUACACAGAAAUAAGUUUUAAUUCUCACUGCUUCGAAAAGUACUAAAGACAGCCACAGAGGUGUAUAUUAAAACCACAUCCAUAAAUCUUAAUCAUUUAAAACCUGAAGAAAACCAUGGAUUCUUGAGGAAAAGGCACUACACACAAAACUUCAAUAUUUUAAAAUGUUUUAAACUUUUCAAAAUUUAUGGAAUUCUCCUUGUGGUGCAAUGGAUUAAGGAGGUGUUAUCACUGCAGUGGCUCAUGUUGCUGCUGUGGUGCAAGUUUGACACCUGGCCCGGGAAUUUCCAUAUCCUGCAGGUGCAGCCAGGAAAAAAAAAAAGAGAGAGAGAGAGAGAAUUUUCUAGGGCUGCACCUGAGGCACAUGAAAGUUCCCAGGCUAGGGGUUGAAUCCGAGCUGUAGCUACUGGCAUACACCAGAGCCACAGCAAAGCAGGAUCUGAGCUGCAUCUCUGACCUGCGCCACAGCUUGCAGCAACACUGGAUCCCCGACCCACUGAGCGGUGAGGCCAGGGAUCGAACCUACAUCCUUAUGGAUACUAGUCGGAUUCAUUUCUGCUGCACCACAAUAGAAACUCCCUAAAUUUUCAAAAUUUAAAAAUCAUGUACUUUUAAAAAUUGUUUGAUUAUAUUAUAAAUUCCACAUUAUC
RNAcentral lists this long non-coding RNA (4077 nucleotides) under Sus scrofa (pig). Its description in RNAcentral is "lncRNA (ENSSSCG00000059833.1)". The record is from RNAcentral. Lineage: Eukaryota; Metazoa; Chordata; Mammalia; Artiodactyla; Suidae.